Long non-coding RNA from Hyla sarda, 447 nucleotides. RefSeq lists it as uncharacterized. The record is from RefSeq and is a predicted model, not a curated record. The transcript is spliced from 3 exons. NCBI's taxonomy places the organism in Eukaryota, Metazoa, Chordata, Amphibia, Anura, Hylidae.
CUGCGUGGUUGCCAGGCAGACGUGUGCGCGGAGGUGCCGCAAAGCGCAGGAGGAUGUCUCCCAUCAGUGCGGCCCUGCCGAACAGGAUUCUAGGAACGGGACCUCUGUAUACCCGAAAAGGCCAGUCGUUGCAGGACACUAUCAAAUCGGAAAAAAACAAGGUUGGAUGGGAAAUCCCAUAAUUUUAUUCUGUCAGAGAUUGCAAAACAGACGGCCACCUUCUCCAUAUACAAUGCAUAUGUUUUCUUGAAGCAUUUGAACAUUUCAAUGGCCAUUUGGACUCUUUCCAAGCCUUCUUCUAACUCCAUUUUAAAGAUCUCUUCAGGAAUAAGGAAGUUCUCAGUCUUCAAGAUAUUUGUAAUCCUUUGGCCAAUCUUUGUAUACCAGUGGAUUGGAAAGAAAUGCAAGUAUCACCUGGUAAACAUGUUGCAGAUGAAAAUAAAAAAG